UAGCAAUCCCAUAAAUCUGUUCUCAGUUCGGAUCGCAGUCUGCAACUCGACUGCGUGAAGCUGGAAUCGCUAGUAAUCGCGGAUCAGCAUGCCGCGGUGAAUACGUUCCCGGGCCUUGUACACACCGCCCGUCACACCACGAGAGUUUGCAACACCCGAAGUCGGUGAGGUAACCUUUAUGGAGCCAGCCGCCGAAGGUGGGGCAGAUGAUUGGGGUGAAGUCGUAACAAGGUA
Molecule: ribosomal RNA, 234 nt
Filed under: Bacillus pumilus
Lineage: Bacteria; Bacillati; Bacillota; Bacilli; Caryophanales; Bacillaceae
Description: partial 16S ribosomal RNA
Rfam family: Bacterial small subunit ribosomal RNA
Source: RNAcentral